RNAcentral lists this ribosomal RNA (116 nucleotides) under Salmo salar (Atlantic salmon). The record is from RNAcentral. Lineage: Eukaryota; Metazoa; Chordata; Actinopteri; Salmoniformes; Salmonidae.
GCUUACUGCAUUAUUACAUAUCAUAUAAACACAAUACAGUCUCGGAAGCUAAGUAGGGUCGGGCCUGGUUAGUACUUGUAUGGUUCGCUGCCUGGGAAUACCAGGUGCAGUAAGCU